UGGGGAUAUUGGCACAAUGGAGGAAACUGACUGAUGCAGCAACGCCGCGUGAGGGAAGAAGGUCUUCGGAUUGUAAACCUUAGUAGUCAGGGACGAAAGAAAUGACGGUACCUGAAGAGUAAGCUCCGGCUAACUACGUGCCAGCAGCCGCGGUAAUACGUAGGGAGCGAGCGUUGUCCGGAUUUACUGGGUGUAAAGGGUGCGUAGGCGGGACUGCAAGUCAGACGUGAAAUACCGAGGCUUAACUUCGGGGCUGCGUUUGAAACUGUGGUUCUUGAGUGAAGUAGAGGCAGGCGGAAUUCCUAGUGUAGCGGUGAAAUGCGUAGAUAUUAGGAGGAACACCAGUGGCGAAGGCGGCCUGCUGGGCUUUAACUGACGCUGAAGCACGAAAGCAUGGGGAGCAAACAGGAUUAGAUACCCUGGUAGUCCAUGCCGUAAACGAUGAUAGCUAGGUGUGGGGGGACUGACCCCUUCCGUGCCGCAGCAAACGCAAUAAGCUAUCCA
Molecule: ribosomal RNA, 504 nt
Filed under: uncultured bacterium
Lineage: Bacteria
Description: partial 16S ribosomal RNA
Rfam family: Bacterial small subunit ribosomal RNA
Source: RNAcentral